UCUCCGUUGGUGAACCAGCGGAGGGAUCAUUACCGAGUUUACAACUCCCAAACCCCCUGUGAACUUAUACCAUUUACUGUUGCUUCGGCGGGCCAUGGCCCCGGGGAAGGACAGCGGUCGCCGUCAGGCCUCAGCUGCCCGCCCCCGGAAACAGGCGCCCGCCGGGGAACUCAAACUCUUCUGUAUUUCUUUAUCUAAUAUAUACUGUCUGAGUAAAAACUAAAAUGAAUCAAAACUUUCAACAACGGAUCUCUUGGUUCUG
RNAcentral lists this unclassified non-coding RNA (262 nucleotides) under plant metagenome. RNAcentral's name for it is "partial contains small subunit ribosomal RNA, internal transcribed spacer 1, and 5.8S ribosomal RNA". The record is from RNAcentral.